Molecule: ribosomal RNA, 399 nt
Filed under: uncultured bacterium
Lineage: Bacteria
Description: bacterial SSU rRNA
Rfam family: Bacterial small subunit ribosomal RNA
Source: RNAcentral
AUUGAACGCUGGCGGCAUGCUUUACACAUGCAAGUCGAACGGCAGCACGGGUGCUUGCACCUGGUGGCGAGUGGCGAACGGGUGAGUAAUGCAUCGGAACGUGCCCAUGAGUGGGGGAUAGCCCGGCGAAAGCCGGAUUAAUACCGCAUACGCCCUUAGGGGGAAAGCGGGGGAUCUUCGGACCUCGCGCUAUUGGAGCGGCCGAUGUCGGAUUAGCUAGUAGGUGAGGUAAAGGCUCACCUAGGCGACGAUCCGUAGCUGGUCUGAGAGGAUGAUCCGCCACACUGGGACUGAGACACGGCCCAGACUCCUACGGGAGGCAGCAGUGGGGAAUUUUGGACAAUGGGGGCAACCCUGAUCCAGCCAUGCCGCGUGAGUGAAGAAGGCCUCGGUUGUAAG